RNAcentral lists this ribosomal RNA (499 nucleotides) under uncultured bacterium. RNAcentral describes it as "partial 16S ribosomal RNA". It matches the Rfam family "Bacterial small subunit ribosomal RNA", at positions 28 to 507 of the family's 1533-position model. The record is from RNAcentral.
GACGAACGCUGGCGGCGUGCCUAAUACAUGCAAGUCGAACGGACUGAGUGGGAGCUUGCUCUUUUUCGGUCAGCGGCGGACGGGGGAGUAAAACGUGGGCAACCUGCCCGCAAGACCGGGAGACCUCCGGGGAAAAGGAGCGCUAACAGGGUAAAAGCGAAGACCGCAUGGUCUAGGGUUGAAAGGCGGCGCCCGCUGCCACUUGCGGAUGAGCGCGCGGGGCAUUAGCGAGUUGGUGGGGUAACGGCUCACCAAGGCGACGAUGCGUAGCCGGCCUGAGAGGGUGAACGGCCACACUGGGACUGAGACACGGCCCAGACUCCUACGGGAGGCAGCAGUAGGGAAUCUUCCGCAAUGGACGAAAGUCUGACGGAGCGACGCCGCGUGAGCGAAGAAGGCCUUCGGGUUGUAAAGCUCUGUUGUGCGGGACGAAGGAGCGCCGUGUGAAGAGUGCGACGCAGUGACGGUACCUGACUAGGAAGCCCCGGCUAACUACGUG